RNAcentral lists this ribosomal RNA (376 nucleotides) under uncultured bacterium. Its description in RNAcentral is "bacterial SSU rRNA". It matches the Rfam family "Bacterial small subunit ribosomal RNA", at positions 524 to 898 of the family's 1533-position model. The record is from RNAcentral.
UACGGAGGGGGCAAGCGUUGUUCGGAAUCACUGGGCGUAAAGGGCGCGUAGGCGGUCAUGUAUGUCAGGUGUGAAAUCCCUAGGCUUAACUUAGGAAUUGCGCUUGAAACUGCAUGGCUAGAGGCUGGGAGAGGAAAGUGGAAUUCCUGGUGUAGCGGUGAAAUGCGUAGAUAUCAGGAGGAACACCGGUGGCGAAAGCGGCUUUCUGGACCAGAUCUGACGCUGAGGCGCGAAAGCGUGGGGAGCAAACGGGAUUAGAUACCCCGGUAGUCCACGCUGUAAACGAUGAGCACUAGGUGUAGCGGGUAUCGACCCCUGCUGUGCCGCAGUUAACGCAUUAAGUGCUCCGCCUGGGGAGUACGGUCGCAAGACUGAA